AUUUCAGGUGAAGCUUGAGCUUCCUACUCAACUCCAUAAGAAGCACCACAUUCUCUUUUCAUUUUAUCACGUCACCUGCGACAUAAAUGCGAAAGCUAAUGCCAAAAAGAAAGAGGCCCUGGAAACAUCAGUGGGAUAUGCUUGGCUCCCUUUAUUGAAAGAUGACCAGCUAGUGUCUCAAGAACACAGCAUACCAGUGGCAACCAGCCUGCCUCCCGGUUAUCUGAGCCUUCAGGAUCCUGCAGCUGGAAAGCACAGCGGAAGUGACGUGAAGUGGGUAGAUGGAGGGAAGCCACUCUUCAAAGUGUCUUCGUUGGUUGUAUCGACAGUUUAUACUCAGGAUCCAUAUCUGAAUAGAUUUUUCCAGCAGUGCCAAAAAAGGAACAGGGAUCUCUCCCAACCACCUACCUCAAACUUUAUCAUCUCCUGUAAG
Non-coding RNA from Podarcis muralis (Common wall lizard), 433 nucleotides. The record is from RefSeq and is a predicted model, not a curated record. Lineage: Eukaryota; Metazoa; Chordata; Lepidosauria; Squamata; Lacertidae.